GGCCCGGUAGGCGAACUGGCAACGACACCCGCCUCAGACGCGGGAGAGUGGGGGUUCGAAUCCCUCUCGGGCCAC
This 75-nucleotide transfer RNA is filed under the name Tautonia plasticadhaerens. RNAcentral's name for it is "Planctomycetes bacterium ElP tRNA-Ser". It matches the Rfam family "tRNA". From Rfam's summary of the family: Transfer RNA (tRNA) molecules are approximately 80 nucleotides in length. Their secondary structure includes four short double-helical elements and three loops (D, anti-codon, and T loops). Further hydrogen bonds mediate the characteristic L-shaped molecular structure. tRNAs have two regions of fundamental functional importance: the anti-codon, which is responsible for specific mRNA codon recognition, and the 3' end, to which the tRNAs corresponding amino acid is attached (by aminoacyl-tRNA synthetases). tRNAs cope with the degeneracy of the genetic code in two manners: having more than one tRNA (with a specific anti-codon) for a particular amino acid; and 'wobble' base-pairing, i.e. permitting non-standard base-pairing at the 3rd anti-codon position. The record is from RNAcentral. Lineage: Bacteria; Pseudomonadati; Planctomycetota; Planctomycetia; Isosphaerales; Isosphaeraceae.